RNAcentral lists this ribosomal RNA (465 nucleotides) under Vreelandella stevensii. Its description in RNAcentral is "partial 16S ribosomal RNA". It matches the Rfam family "Bacterial small subunit ribosomal RNA", at positions 338 to 795 of the family's 1533-position model. Lineage: Bacteria; Pseudomonadati; Pseudomonadota; Gammaproteobacteria; Oceanospirillales; Halomonadaceae. The record is from RNAcentral.
CCUACGGGAGGCUGCAGUGGGGAAUAUUGGACAAUGGGGGCAACCCUGAUCCAGCCAUGCCGCGUGUGUGAAGAAGGCCCUCGGGUUGUAAAGCACUUUCAGUGAGGAAGAACGCCUGGUGGUUAAUACCCAUCAGGAAAGACAUCACUCACAGAAGAAGCACCGGCUAACUCCGUGCCAGCAGCCGCGGUAAUACGGAGGGUGCGAGCGUUAAUCGGAAUUACUGGGCGUAAAGCGCGCGUAGGUGGCUUGAUAAGCCGGUUGUGAAAGCCCCGGGCUCAACCUGGGAACGGCAUCCGGAACUGUCAAGCUAGAGUGCAGGAGAGGAAGGUAGAAUUCCCGGUGUAGCGGUGAAAUGCGUAGAGAUCGGGAGGAAUACCAGUGGCGAAGGCGGUCUUCUGGACUGACACUGACACUGAGGUGCGAAAGCGUGGGUAGCAAACAGGAUUAGAUACCCGAGUAGUC